Molecule: long non-coding RNA, 1292 nt
Organism: Salvelinus sp. IW2-2015
Lineage: Eukaryota; Metazoa; Chordata; Actinopteri; Salmoniformes; Salmonidae
Source: RefSeq, a predicted model, not a curated record
CGUCAGGCUUCCAUGCCUCAACUGGCUUGUCAGGUUCUCAAGCCUCGGUUGGCUCAGCAGGCUCCCCAUGCCUCAGCCGGCCUUUUCAGGCUCCUAUGCCGGCAUUUUCAGGCUCCCAUGCCCGCCUUUUCAGUGUACAAAUUUUGGCAUAUCAGUGUGAACACUCUUUAAGUGUUUCUAGGAGAGGGUCGUGGCUUCGUGUCAAUAGUUCCGACAAAACACUUGCAAGAAAGAAUCUUACAGCCUUAGGUAGGGCUUUUUGCAGCAUUUCUUCAUCUCUGAUUAUGCGACGCACAAUGACCUCAGCACUUGUCCAAACCACAAAGUCACAGUAUUGGACAUUGCAUACAAACAUGUGAAGUUGAACUUGGUGGUAAUAUUCAUGAUUCUUUUUUAGGUGCAGUGAUUUGUCCAAGCAGAACUGUGUGUCAUCACUGCACCCUGUUAAGCCAUCACGGUAUUUGUAUGGGCACUUAACUUCAAGGGUUCCUCUCCCACAACAGGAACAGUUUACUAAUCCAUCUGGAGACGCCCUGAGAUGUGGUUGAUCGUUCCGCACGACAAGACCAGAGAGCUUCACACUGAAGUUGGCAUGGAUUUUGCUCAUUUCUUCCGUGUAGUACUUUCUGGCUGUAUCCUCCAUGUCUCUUCCCCAAACUACAGCUGGGACAUGAUGCAAUUCACUGGCAUUGUAAUGCAUUGUCUUUUUCACCAAGUUGAUUUUGUCUGUGUUUCUGCCUGCCGUGCACACACGAUGGAAGGCGGUGCUUGUUAUCAUUCCGAUUCGGUUGAUGUGCCAGGCCUGGCAUUUCGACUUCUCCUUGGAGGUGGUGAGAGGUCCCAUAGAUUGGCAUCAUACAGAGCUGUGAGUGGCUCUGGCAGGUCUUCUGUGUUGGUGUUUGACUCUCCUGAUGCAGUAUCUACAUCACUGUGGUCCUUCACCAUCCUGGCCAUGAAGCCUGCUACAUAUACAUAUUGCUAUGAGACAACUUCUUCACUGAACGUAGCUACUGCCAUCAACAUGUGCACAUCCACAUAUCGUGCCAGUAUUUGUACACAAAGGACGGGGUCUAUUGCGACCUGGAUUCCUCUACAAAGACCUACACUAUUCAACCUGUACAUCACCUCUACAAAAGAUCCAAAAGCUGUUGGGUAAUUCCACAAAAUGAGUCCCUUUUGGGUAGUGUAACUUCGUGGGAAAAAAUAGUUUUAUUUCACCUAACAUGACGAGCACAUGUUCAACUUAAUGAAAAAAACAUGAUGUUUUCCCAUCUCAAGAGGGAUAAUAAAAU